RNAcentral lists this long non-coding RNA (1305 nucleotides) under Strongylocentrotus purpuratus (purple sea urchin). RNAcentral's name for it is "uncharacterized LOC115924080". The record is from RNAcentral. Lineage: Eukaryota; Metazoa; Echinodermata; Echinoidea; Camarodonta; Strongylocentrotidae.
UAUGCUUACUUUCAUAUCAUCUGCAGGAGGGGAGCUCUGUGGUUCGCUGGCUUCUGACGUGAACAAAACCAAGCCACCAAACUCUUCAACAUUUCAAGCAAUGUGAACACCCCUUGUACCGUGGAGGAGUCCAAGUCUAUCCCCCUCAAAUUCUUGAUUGAGAAGCACGCUGGUGGUGUAGAGGGGGGUCGGGAUAACCUCUUAGCUGUCAACCCAGGGGGUUCAUGUACUUCUAUGAUCCCUAAAGAAUCAUCUGCAGGAGGGGAGCUCUGUGGUUCGCUGGCUUCUGACGUGAACAAAACCAAGCCACCAAACUCUUCAACACCUCAGGCAAUGUGAACACCCCCUGUACCAUGGAGGAGUCCAAGUCUAUCCCCCUCAAGUACUUGAUUGAGAAGCACGCUGGUGGUGAAGAGGGGGGUUGGGAUAACCUCUUAGCUGUCAACCCAGGGGGUUCAUGUACUUCUAUGAUCCCUAAAGAGAGGGGAGCUCUGUGGUUCGCUGGCUUCUGACGUGAACAAAACCAAGCCACCAAACUCUUCAACAUCUCGGGCAAUGUGAACACCCCUUGUACCGUGGAGGAGUCCAAGUCUAUCCCCCUCAAGUUCCUGAUUGAGAAGCACGCUGGUGGUGUAGAGUGGGGUCGGGAUAACCUCUUAGCUGUCAACCAAGGGGGUUCAUGUACUUCUAUGAUCCCUAAAGAGAGGGGAGCUCUGUGGUUCGCUGGCUUCUGACGUGAACAAAACCAAGCCACCAAACUCUUCAACAUCUCAGGCAAUGUGAACACCCCUUGUACCAUGGAGGAGUCCAAGUCUAUCCCCCUCAAGUUCUUGAUUGAGAAGCACGCUGGUGGUGUAGAGGGGGGUUGGGAUAACCUCUUAGCUGUCAACCCAGGGGGUUCAUGUACUUCUAUGAUCCCUAAAGAAUCAUCUGCAGGAGGGGAGCUCUGUGGUUCGCUGGCUUCUGACGUGAACAAAACCAAGCUACCAAACUCUUCAAUAUCUCAGGCAAUGUGAACACCCCUUGUACCGUGGAGGAGUCCAAGUCUAUCCCCCUCAAGUACUUGAUUGAGAAGCACGCUGGUGGUGUAGAGGGGGGUUGGGAUAACCUCUUAGCUGUCAACCCAGGGGGUUCAUGUACUUCUAUGAUCCCUAAAGAGUACCUCAUUUUACAUCUUUGGUAGAUGGAUGGCUCUUUGCACUUUGACCAAUGAGCUUAUCUAUAUUUCAUCUAUCAAGCACCGAUGAUUUGAUAUUAUCUCCAGCAAUGCAAUAAUUGAAUAAACCAACCUCACACAACUGAUAA